RNAcentral lists this ribosomal RNA (395 nucleotides) under uncultured bacterium. Its description in RNAcentral is "bacterial SSU rRNA". It matches the Rfam family "Bacterial small subunit ribosomal RNA", at positions 30 to 432 of the family's 1533-position model. The record is from RNAcentral.
AUUGAACGCUGGCGGCAUGCCUUACACAUGCAAGUCGAACGGUAACAGGUUAAGCUGACGAGUGGCGAACGGGUGAGUAAUGUAUCGGAACGUGCCCAGUCGUGGGGGAUAACGUAGCGAAAGCUACGCUAAUACCGCAUACGAUCUAUGGAUGAAAGCGGGGGAUCGCAAGACCUCGCGCGAUUGGAGCGGCCGAUAUCAGGAUUAGGUAGUUGGUGGGGUAAAGGCCCACCAAGCCGACGAUCUGUAGCUGGUCUGAGAGGACGACCAGCCACACUGGGACUGAGACACGGCCCAGACUCCUACGGAGGCAGCAGUGGGGAAUUUUGGACAAUGGGCGCAAGCCUGAUCCAGCAAUGCCGCGUGCAGGAUGAAGGCCUUCGGGUUGUAACGUA